GUGCCAUCCAUGUGGGACUGACGGCGGCGGCGAUGCGAGCAGCGCAUGGAGCGUACUAGCGAGGAUGCCGUUACGGAAGAAGAAAAAAAGAAGAAGCCGAGCAGAGCGCGGAUCGAACCACGGACCCCAAAAGAAAUGACCAGCAGCUUUACCACUGAGCCAACGAUGCCACAUGUACCCCCAGCAGGAAUGAAGGAACUGAUGUGGAGGCGACCUUCUACGUUCGCCGAGGAGAAGCGUGGGAGCCCGUCUGGGAGUGGCGGAGAGGUACGACGUCAUACUGAAGUACUAUACAUAACGCAUU
Molecule: long non-coding RNA, 304 nt
Organism: Ornithodoros turicata
Lineage: Eukaryota; Metazoa; Arthropoda; Arachnida; Ixodida; Argasidae
Exons: 3
Source: RefSeq, a predicted model, not a curated record